UUCGCGGAGGCCGGAGGGAGCUGCUGGUACAAAAAGCGGAAUAUGUUUGAUUUAAGCUAAAGUAGAGUUACGUUUCAUCUAAGUAAUUGCAUUUUUUUUAAUGAAAGCUGGACAUAAUGUCCCUCUUAUAGCAUGUUUUCUUUAAAACGGUGUUUUUUUUCUAGACACUGUUCGUUCUUUGGAGAUGAGAACGUCGUGUUCAGUGUGAGACUAGACAUAAGGAAGAAUUUCUUUGUCGUGAGAGUGGUGAGGCACUGGCACAGGUUGCUCAGGGAAGCUGUGGCUGCCCCGUCCCUGGAAGUGUUCGAGGCCAGGUUGGAUGGGGCCUUGGGCAGCCUGACCUAGUGGGAGGUGUCCCUGCCCAUGGCAGGGGAUCUGGAACUGGAUGAUCUUUGAGGUCCCUUCCAACCCAAACUAAUCUAUGAUUUUGUGAUCCGUGCUGAGCAGAUGUGUCUGCUUCUGCCAUCGGCUCUGUUUGCAGUCUUUCCGGAUCUCAAAUGUAAGGUCAGGCAGAGCUGGCUGCAGAGCUCCAAAUUAGCAAGAGUUUUGACUGUUUUGAAGUUGAUAAUAUUAAAAUUAAUCUUUGGAAAAUAAUAGAAUAUGCAUAACAUUUCUGGGAAAAUUUAUCCCUACACGUGUAAGUGGGAAAUGUAUUCUGUCCCCAGCUCCUGUCUCAUAGAAUAGAAUCAUAGAAUCGGCAGGUUGGAAAAGACCUCUUAGAUCAUCGAGUCUAGCCAUUCCUAUCUGCCACUGAACCACGUCCUUGAGUACCUCGUCUCUUGGAGAUCGCUCCUGCACGUUGCUCAGCCCUGAUAAAGGAUGCUCGUUUUCUAAAACUCGAAAACGAGUCUUAGUUUAUCUGCCGGCAUUUUCAUCAUCCCCUUAGACCCCACAAGCGCUUGGGUAGGCGUCGUACCACUAUCAGGAGGUGCUUCUGUUCGCUGGCUGAAAGCUGCGGCUCCAGAGUCUGCCCGGGAGUGAGUCCCGCCACCCCCGGAGGGGUCCGAGGGCUCGCACGCCUCCUCCAGAGACCGGCGCAGCGCGUCCUCAAACGGGUAUUUUACAAAUAUUUUACUUGGGCAUUUAGUGAGGCUUCAGGGUAUUGAGAGUCUCUCACUGACUGACUGCCUCCGCUGGAGCCCUUUGAUCUCCUUCCAGGCUGUGGUGCGAGAUGCUGCUGUGACCUACUCUUGUCCUGCAGACCAGAUCCUAUUCAUCCAGACAGCAGCUGAAGAGUUUUCUAAACUCAAUUAGUGCAAGAAUGCUGUGACCAACGGAAAAAUGUUUGAUGCAUGCCAGAAAACAAAUCUUCCCAGCUCUUGGAAAUAUGUUCUGAAAA
This is a long non-coding RNA of Cuculus canorus (common cuckoo), 1339 nucleotides long. RefSeq lists it as uncharacterized. The record is from RefSeq and is a predicted model, not a curated record. The transcript has 3 exons. NCBI's taxonomy places the organism in Eukaryota, Metazoa, Chordata, Aves, Cuculiformes, Cuculidae.